UGCCCGAUGGUGUAAUGGUAGCACAACUGAUUCUGGUUCAGUUUGUCUUGGUUCGAAUCCAGGUCGGGCAGCCA
This 74-nucleotide transfer RNA is filed under the name Lentisphaerota bacterium. RNAcentral's name for it is "Lentisphaerae bacterium (anaerobic digester metagenome) tRNA-Gln". It matches the Rfam family "tRNA". From Rfam's summary of the family: Transfer RNA (tRNA) molecules are approximately 80 nucleotides in length. Their secondary structure includes four short double-helical elements and three loops (D, anti-codon, and T loops). Further hydrogen bonds mediate the characteristic L-shaped molecular structure. tRNAs have two regions of fundamental functional importance: the anti-codon, which is responsible for specific mRNA codon recognition, and the 3' end, to which the tRNAs corresponding amino acid is attached (by aminoacyl-tRNA synthetases). tRNAs cope with the degeneracy of the genetic code in two manners: having more than one tRNA (with a specific anti-codon) for a particular amino acid; and 'wobble' base-pairing, i.e. permitting non-standard base-pairing at the 3rd anti-codon position. RNAcentral also lists the same sequence under 1 other name. Lineage: Bacteria; Pseudomonadati; Lentisphaerota. The record is from RNAcentral.